GACGAACGCUGGCGGCGCGCCUAACACAUGCAAGUCGAACGGAGCUGAGAGAAGCUUGCUUUUCUUAGCUUAGUGGCGAACGGGUGAGUAACGCGUGAGUAACCUGCCCUGGAGUGGGGGACAACAGUUGGAAACGACUGCUAAUACCGCAUAAGCCCACGAUCCGGCAUCGGAUUGAGGGAAAAGGAUUUAUUCGCUUCAGGAUGGACUCGCGUCCAAUUAGCUAGUUGGUGAGGUAACGGCCCACCAAGGCGACGAUUGGUAGCCGGACUGAGAGGUUGACCGGCCACAUUGGGACUGAGACACGGCCCAGACUCCUACGGGAGGCCGCAGUGGGGGAUAUUGCACAAUGGGGGAAACCCUGAUGCAGCGACGCCGCGUGGAGGAAGAAGGUUUUCGGAUUGUAAACUCCUGUCGUUAGGGACGAUAAUGACGGUACCUAACAAGAAAGCACCGGCUAACUACGGGC
Molecule: ribosomal RNA, 469 nt
Filed under: uncultured bacterium
Lineage: Bacteria
Description: partial 16S ribosomal RNA
Rfam family: Bacterial small subunit ribosomal RNA
Source: RNAcentral